RNAcentral lists this ribosomal RNA (605 nucleotides) under uncultured bacterium. RNAcentral's name for it is "bacterial SSU rRNA". The stretch from base 1 to 519 matches the Rfam family "Bacterial small subunit ribosomal RNA", at positions 338 to 873 of the family's 1533-position model. The record is from RNAcentral.
CCUACGGGAGGCAGCAGUGGGGAAUAUUGGACAAUGGGCGAAAGCCUGAUCCAGCAAUGCCGCGUGAGUGAUGAAGGCCUUAGGGUUGUAAAGCUCUUUUACCAGGGAUGAUAAUGACAGUACCUGGAGAAUAAGCUCCGGCUAACUCCGUGCCAGCAGCCGCGGUAAUACGGAGGGAGCUAGCGUUGUUCGGAAUUACUGGGCGUAAAGAGUACGUAGGCGGUGAUUCAAGUCAGAGGUGAAAGCCUGGAGCUCAACUCCAGAACUGCCUUUGAAACUAGAUCGCUAGAAUCAUGGAGAGGUUAGUGGAAUUCCGAGUGUAGAGGUGAAAUUCGUAGAUAUUCGGAAGAACACCAGUGGCGAAGGCGACUAACUGGACAUGUAUUGACGCUGAGGUACGAAAGCGUGGGGAGCAAACAGGAUUAGAUACCCUGGUAGUCCACGCCGUAAACGAUGAUAACUAGCUGUCGGGUCGUACGACUCUGAGUGGCGCAGACUACGACAUUAAGUUAGUCCGUCCGUGGGAGGUACGGUCGCGAGAAGUAAACUAACGAAAGUUAAGUUAGUAGCGUUGAGAGNGCGACGGACGACGACGAGGGAGGAGG